RNAcentral lists this non-coding RNA (91 nucleotides) under Pongo abelii (Sumatran orangutan). The record is from RNAcentral. Lineage: Eukaryota; Metazoa; Chordata; Mammalia; Primates; Hominidae.
GGCUUUUCCAAUGGUAGUGGGUUAUCUGAACUUAUUAGCAUUAGUAUCACUAAAGUUGAUAUACAACCCCGCAGGCUAAAUUUGACCGGCA